UGAGGUUAAUUGUUCCUUAAAUCUGAGAGGAAUCGUUCUUAAAUCUGAGGGGAAUAAUUCCUUAAAUUUACGGGGAAUUGUUCCUUGAAUCUGAGGGGAAUAAUUCCUUAAAUCUGAGGGGAAUUGUUCUUUAAAUCAGAGGGGAAUAAUUCCUUAAAUUUGAGGGGAAUCUUUCUUCAACUCUGAAGAGAAUCAUUCCUUAAAUUUGAGGGGGAUCUUUCCUUAAAUCUGAGGGAAAUUGUUCUUUAAAUUUGAGGGGAAUUGUUCCUUAAAUCUGAGUGGAAUCAUUCCUUAAAUCUGAGGGAAAUAAUUCCUUAAAUCAGAGGGAAACCCUGGCAGGCUCUACAGUUAAAACAAGAGUGAAGGAAUGGUCAUGGCAGGGUUUCUGUUCCAUUUUGCUGGUUUGUUUUACAUGGUGCUGUUUUCAUGCCCACAUUUUAAAAAAGGGAUUGGUAAUAAAGUUGAAAAAAUGGAAUGCUGAAGUUUCAAAUCAUUGCAGCUUUUUGAAGAGGAGGAUUAGCUUAUGAUCCAUGUAGCAGAAUACAGUAUGCUAUAAUAAAUACGAUAUCUUGUUAUAAGUAAUAUUAAAUGCAACAUAUUAUGUGUACAUUAUUGCUGUUGGUUUGCUAAUUCUAUGGUUGUCAAUUUUGCUCUUGGAAUGUAACUUUUAUUUCGGAAAAGGAAAUGCUGCCUAAACUUAAACUGCCCAGAAGCACUCAGGGAUUAAAAUUUGUACUUCAUUGAGAAAGAUAUCCUUGUGUUUAUCAAAUAGCCAACUUUUGCUUUUUUACAUGAGCUCAGAUAAGAAUAUAGUCUUAAAUAAAGUCAUGUGCCUCUAAAAAUAAUUUUAAAACCUCAAACCCAGUCAUAAAUCAAUCUAGGGCAGUGUAUGGACUUAAAAAGGGGAGGGUAUGGCAUAGAAAAACUUGGUAUGUUAUUAAUCACAGAAUCAUGGAAUGUUAGGGUUGGAAAGGGACCUUAAAGCUCAUCCAGUGCCACCCCUGCCAUGGCAGGGACACCUCCCACUGUCCCAGGCUGCUCCAGCCCCAGUGUCCAACCUGGCCCUGGGCACUGCCAGGGAUCCAGGGGCAGCUUUAAGGUCCCUUCCAACCCAAAUAAUUCUGGGCUUCUAUGAAAGAGCCAAAGGCUGAAGAACUACAACCAAAUGCCAUUGCAUAAAGUCAGAAUGAUUCCCUGAGCAUGAAUAGAUUUAUUAGAAACUCAAAGUUAGAUCACAGUUUUCCAUUUUGCACAUCUCCAUCUCUUUCCUUUUGUAAAGGAAAAAAAAAAAAAGAAAAAGGAAGAAAAAGAGUUUGAUUUCCUGUGGAAGCACAGCAGGAGCUGGAAAACAAAGCAUGGCUGCUUGGGGAAGUUCACACAGCACCUGUUCUGAUGUGCUUUAGAAUAAAUACACUGAUUUUUGUUUAUUCUUAUGCUGCCAGUCAGGAGAGAGUGAUUUAAUUUCAGAAUUAAUUUCAAGUGCUUGUUUCCAGAGCCAAAAGCUUUGAAAGCUUGUGUAACUUCUAACUUAAGCAAUAAACUUAAAAAAUCCCACAGAAUCUGAAUUCUUGCCUUUAAUCCCACUGGCCUGAUUUAUUUUCACUUAUAGUGCUAGUUAAAAUAUUUUAAGAAUCUGUUUGUAUUCAAACGAGGGCUUGCAUUUAUCACACCUCAUAUCAUUUAGCCUGAAAUGUCACGGCCUGGAGAAUGGUGUGUAAAAAAAAGUGAGGUUCCCCCAGUGCAGCUUUGUGAUGCCCAGGAUUGCUAUAAAAUCCUGUACCUCAUGUUGCUCUCCAGAAAUUUACUGGCAUUGUUCUUUUUGCUGAACUGUUAAACGUAGAUGAACGUCCAGAGGUUUUUUUUGUAAACUUGAACUGACACUAUUUUUACACUUUUUUUUACUGAUGAUAUUAUCUUACAUCAAAAAAAGAAAAACCCGUAAGUGUUUUACAGGAUUAUUUGCAAACACAAAGCUCUCGUGGCUUGUUGCAUUAAGGAGUUGUGGGAUGCAGCUAUAAAGUGUCCUAUGACAUUUUAAAUUGGAUUUAUAUCCAAAUGGAUCAUCAGGCUGCCCAUCACUGAGGAAGAUGAAGAGGGAAGACUGGACAAGGAGGAAAAGGAUGGAGAUGGAGCUGAGACACAGGAAGAAGGAAAUAAAAAUUCAAGGGAAACAAAUUUUUACUGAUUAUUCUUAAGCAAAUACUCCAAGCUUAAUGUAAAAUAAAUGGGAUGUAGGGAGAUUCCAGCAUUAAUAGGGGAACAAUCAUUGUUAAAACAUUUAUCAAACAAUAAUGAUCACAAGCCCAAGACUCCCCUGUUCCAUUGGCAGAUUGUCAAUUGAAAUAUAAUUAUCUCAGUGUUAAAGUUGGAUUUUUCUGAAGUUAAAGACUGGUAAGAAUUCCAGUUAGGCACAUGGUGGUUCCAGUCCUAGUUUUGGGAACUGGGGAGUGUGAGAGAAGGGGAGCACCUUUAUUUUGUUGACACUAAAUAAUAACUUUGCUUGUGGUCAUAACUGGUUCUGCAAAUACUGGUGUCCUGCUCUGCUGGUUUAUUUUUAAUCAUCCUUUACAAUAAUACAUAAAUAACUUACAGUUACAAUAAUACAUAAAUAACUAAUCUGAAUCCCGCAGAUUGCUCAUAUUCCCUGCUUUUAAAAUAUAAAUAGCUAAUCUGAAUCCCACAGAUUGCUCAUAUUCCCUCCUUUUAAAAAUGCCGCUUACAAGAUAUUAACUUGUACUUUUUGGAUAAUAAAUAUUCACUAUAUUGCAUCUGUUAAGUGACAAUAGAAAAACUUCAGAGUUCAGAUGAUCUUGAAGGCCCCUUCCAACCCAACCAUUCUAUGAUUUUAUGAUUUAUUAGCAGCAGAUAAUGUAUAAACUCUGCAUGGAGAGUGGUGCCAGAUGUGAGAGAUAAAAGGAAUUGCUGGUGGCCACCUGCCUGAAUGCUCAUUUCAGCUCUGCUGUGGUGCUUGAUGUCAUGGAGAAUUCAUGGGAUACAGAAUCAUUCAAAGGUAGCAGAGCAUGGCAGGUUAGCAAGGAGGGAUGCUUGUGGAAUGCUGUUGGGUUGGAAAAAUCCAUCUGUUGGGUUGGAAAAGCCUUUUGCCAGGUUUUGAAGAGCAGCUGUGAGUGGAUAUUUGGGUUUUUCUUCUGAUAGGGAAGCACAGAGAGCUCUGAGUGUGAAGGUGUUGGAAAUUCAGGGCAUUGCUGGGACUGCUGCUGGUUUGGCUGUCUUGUUUUUAUCUUAAUAUUUCUGUCUUUAUAUCAGCAUUGUGCUACCACUCAGUUUAGACUUAGAAUCAUAAAAUUACAGAAUUAUUAUGUUUUAUAUAUUAUUCAGAAUGGUUUGAGUUAGAUGGGACCUUAAAACCCAGCCCUGCCAUGGGCAGGAACACCUUCCACUGUCCCAGGCUGCUCCAGCCUAGCCUUGAACGCUUCCAGGGAUGGGACAGAUUUGGUUUUUCAUUUCUAUUCUAGACAAAGUUUGCAAAUUAAUGUUUAGCUUUUUGAGGCAAUAAAAAAUAAGUUUUCUGUUUGUAUUACAUUUAUUUCUAUUCCCCGUAUUUUCCUCACAGAUUUCCAGUUUUUCCUAAUAUCAGUAAUUUUUAUUUACUUUAUUUUUGUCGUUGUCUUUAGUUAUCUGGGCCUUUUUUUUUGUUUGAUUUAAUGUUUGAGAUGGAUAAAGUAUUACUUCUUGUUGCUACAGCUUACUUAAUUAGUACGAAUUAUUAAAACUAGAAAUUGAACAACUUAAGACUUUCCGUUAAAACAAAAAAUUCUUGUUGCAAUAAUCCUGAUAGUGGCUUCCUGAUAGGUAAAAUCAAUAAAUUAGAAGAAAUCCAUCUUACUUCAAUUAGAAACUCAAAUUUUGGCUUUCUUUAUACUAGAAAAAAAAACAUUUUUUUCAGCAAUGGCUUGCAGAAAUAGCAAUUUAUGGGCUUUUUUCUCCUUGUGUUUUAUACAGAAAUAGGAGUAGCCAAAAAGAGGUACAGAAAUGCUUUUUGGGGUGUCUGCAAGAAGAGCUGUAAAACAUUGUACACUCAAUGCUGGUUGACUCACCAUAAACCAGAGACUGAAAGGGACAGAGAAGCCAUUCAGUGUGAAGAGUUUUAGUCCAGUUUUGGGGAGGAGGAUGGAAGGAAAAGGGAAGAAUAUGGGAGAAAAAUGGUAAUUUUCUUAUUUUACACAGUCCAGCUCUGUCAGUAAUGUUGGAUUCCAAAGUGCAGAGAACUCUCAAAACUUUGAGCCUGGAAGCCAAAGCUUAGAAUUAAAGCCAGGAUUUGAUCUGAGACCUUGGAAAAAGCUCCCAAACUUAGGUGCUAGAAGGGAGAAUGUGGAUUUGUAGUUUAAAGGAGAGACAAGUUAAGCUAAGUGAAGGAGUUUAAGAUAUAGAAAAAAUAAAAGUAGUUACAGAGGUAAACAAGGAGUUCAGAAUGCAGCACUGUAGGUUUGUGUGCAUGAUUGGCUAAGAGAGCUCACACUGUAACAUGGGUUUUAAUAAGAUGAAAUAUUUAAGGAUUGGGUCACAAACAUAAAUAUCCUUGUUGGCAGUGUUUUAUUGGUCAAUAACUCCUUUAAAUGUAUUAUUACUGAGGGUCUUGGGGCCUUCUGAACCAUACUGUAACCAUGGGAGCUGAAUUCCUGCCUGUGUAGAAGAUAAGAAAAAGAAACCACAUCAUCAAAA
Molecule: non-coding RNA, 4680 nt
Organism: Taeniopygia guttata (zebra finch)
Lineage: Eukaryota; Metazoa; Chordata; Aves; Passeriformes; Estrildidae
Source: RefSeq, a predicted model, not a curated record